This is a non-coding RNA of Nemania sp. NC0429, 93 nucleotides long. The record is from the annotation of a GenBank genome assembly. Lineage: Eukaryota; Fungi; Ascomycota; Sordariomycetes; Xylariales; Xylariaceae.
AAGGAAUUAGUGCAGUGGUAGCACGUCGUGGAGUCGUUAGGCGCCGCCGAGGGCGUUGAUCCGAAAGCACCAGUUCGAUUCUGGGAUUCUUCA